Long non-coding RNA from Gadus macrocephalus (Pacific cod), 343 nucleotides. RefSeq lists it as uncharacterized. The transcript is spliced from 2 exons. The record is from RefSeq and is a predicted model, not a curated record. Lineage: Eukaryota; Metazoa; Chordata; Actinopteri; Gadiformes; Gadidae.
UUUAAAACACAUUUUACAUCAGAAAGUAAAUCUUUGUACAACCUGCUUAACCCAAAGGAAGAUCUUCCUUUCAUGGUUUAUGCUGAACCUUCCAGAAGCCCAAUAAAAUGCAGCAUUUGGAGUUCAGUGGAACCCAAGCGGCCCCCUCUAAUCUGACGCUCAGCAGCCCAGCUGAACACAGAGAGGGCUGAGAGAUGAACCACGAGAGACACUGAUGUUACCUGCUGCUUACCACCGGAACACAGACCUGCUGUGGGUUUAGAUCCAUGAACGAUGUGUGUGUGUGAGUGCAUGUCUGUGUAAAUAAGUCUGUGUGUGUGUGUGUGUGUGUGUGUGUGUGUGU